This is a long non-coding RNA of Schistocerca nitens (vagrant locust), 706 nucleotides long. RefSeq lists it as uncharacterized. The transcript is spliced from 4 exons. The record is from RefSeq and is a predicted model, not a curated record. NCBI's taxonomy places the organism in Eukaryota, Metazoa, Arthropoda, Insecta, Orthoptera, Acrididae.
GCGCAGCUGCAAUUACGUCCAGUCUUCUCUAAAUAUACUGAAAGAGUUUCCAUUACUAGAGAAAUAUCGGCUGUGAUUUAUUAACGUGUGAUUUGUUUCCCGCCGUGUACUGCUUUCUUUCGAUGUGAUAAUGCUAAAAGAAACCUUGCCGCGCAGUGCCAGUACAUGAGAAGACUGCCACAGACGACUGUUCGGAAGCUUGAAAUGUAGUGAGCAGCGGACGGCGCGAAUGCAGACUUGUGUGGACUCAGCAUGGUCCACUUAAGGAGACGUCCAACACUGUCUCAACGUAAUCAGUACUGCUGAACUAGCGUGCAAAUCUCUGGUAAUAUCCGCAUGCAUGCAGCCACUGAGAGAGCUUGAGAGUUAGACUGGCCAAGCUUUCGACUGACUUGAAAGCACGCUUUUUUCCGGUUUGUCGAGGCGAGAAGUUGCAGCAGUUCUGAGGUGCCUGCUGCUGUUUAAGAAUUUGAACGACAUUAGACGCAACCAGCAGGAAUAAAACUUCUGCUCCACAUAUGUAAAUAAAAUUUGUUAACAUAUCUUGAGAUUUCCUUCAGACGUAAUACAUUUGACUGUUAAAACCACAGGAUACUUAUUGACUCCACAAAAGUGUCCAAGAGACGGAUUCCCACAACAUUCAUUUAAUAUACAGGAUCAUGAAGCGACCCUCAGAUUUACUUUGGAGUGAGUGCGAGAAUUCUGU